This 72-nucleotide transfer RNA is filed under the name Colletotrichum gloeosporioides. It matches the Rfam family "tRNA". Rfam says of the family: Transfer RNA (tRNA) molecules are approximately 80 nucleotides in length. Their secondary structure includes four short double-helical elements and three loops (D, anti-codon, and T loops). Further hydrogen bonds mediate the characteristic L-shaped molecular structure. tRNAs have two regions of fundamental functional importance: the anti-codon, which is responsible for specific mRNA codon recognition, and the 3' end, to which the tRNAs corresponding amino acid is attached (by aminoacyl-tRNA synthetases). tRNAs cope with the degeneracy of the genetic code in two manners: having more than one tRNA (with a specific anti-codon) for a particular amino acid; and 'wobble' base-pairing, i.e. permitting non-standard base-pairing at the 3rd anti-codon position. The record is from Rfam by way of RNAcentral. Lineage: Eukaryota; Fungi; Ascomycota; Sordariomycetes; Glomerellales; Glomerellaceae. RNAcentral also lists the same sequence under 11 other names.
GGGCGAUUGGUUUAGUGGUAUAACGAUCCCUUCGCAUGGGAUAGGUCCUAGGUUCGAUUCCUAGAUUGUCCA